This 2121-nucleotide small RNA is filed under the name Pan troglodytes (chimpanzee). Its description in RNAcentral is "retained intron". Lineage: Eukaryota; Metazoa; Chordata; Mammalia; Primates; Hominidae. The record is from RNAcentral.
UUAUAGUUAUUCUUUUCCUUAUGAAAAACAAAAAGGGGACUGGGCGUGGUGGCUAACACCUGUAAUCCCAGCACUUGGGGAGGCUGAGGCGGGCGGAUCACAAGGUCAGGAGUUCGAGACCAGACUGGCCAAAAGGAUGAAACCGCAUCUCUCUACUAAAAAUACAAAAAAUUAGCUAGGUGCGGUGGGGCGCACCAGUAAUCCCAGCUACUAGGGAGGCUGAGGUAGGAGAAUAGCUUGAACCCGGGAGGCGGAGGUUGCAGUGAGCCAAGAUCGAGCCACGGCACUCUAGCCCAGGUGACAGUGUGAGACUCUGUCUCAGAAAAAAAAGAAAAACAGGAUCGAGAUGGUUUGCAGGAUUAGCAAGUGAUAGAGAUAUAUUGAAGACAUAGAAAGCCAGUGUGGUUGCUCACACCUAUAAUCCCAGCACUGUGGGAGGCCAAGGCAGGAGGAUCACUUGAGUCGAUGAGUUAGAGACCAACCUGGGCAGCAAAGUGAGACCCCAUCUCUACAAAAAAAUUUUUAAAAAAUCAGCCAGGUGCGGUGGUGCACACCUGUAAUCCCAGCUACUAAGGAGGCUGAGGCAGGAGAAUCUCUUGAACCCAGGAGGCAGAGGUUGCAGUGAGCCAAGAUUGAGCCACGGCACUCUAGCCCAGGUGACAGUGUGAGACUCCAUCUCAGAACAAAAAGAAUAACAGGAUAGGGAUGGUUUGCAGGAUUAUCAAGUGAUACAGAUGUACUGAAGACAUAGAAAGCCAGUGUGGUUGCUCACAUCUAUAAUCCCAACACUUUGGGAGGCCAGGGCAGGAGGAUCACUUGAGUUGAAGAGUUAGAGACCAACCUGGGCAACAAAGUGAGACCCCCACCUCUACAAAACAUUAAAAAAAAAUGAGCUGCACAUGUUGGCACGCACUUGUAAUCCCAGCUACUUGGGAGGCUGAGGUGAGAGGAUCACUUGAGCACAGGAGGUUACAGUGAGCUAUGAUCACGCCACUCGACUCCAGCCUGAAUGACAGAGCGAGACCCUGUCUCAAAAAAGUGGGGGGAAAUAAAAGGAUAUAGUGCACUGGAUUGAAACUUUCUCCUGUCGUUAUCAUAAUCACAAGAAUUGAAGUAACUAAAAAGAGAAUCAUAGUCUCAAUGUGUGCUUGAAUGUUAUUUAACAUCACGUCUCUGCUACCUCAUCAUUAACCAGCUGUGGUAAUGAUUCCACACUUUGAACCCAUCCCACCUGUUGACAGAAGCGAUUGCAAUGCCAGCAUCACUCAGUGACAGCUCAUCAUGUAGGGCCCAGAAUACUGAUUUUGUGACUUCUAAGCUUGUGCUCCAUUCCCAACACAAAGUCUUCUGACCAGCCUUUGAGUACCAUUAUUGUAGAAGAAGCUCAUCUUAGGUAACUAUUACUAGAGCAGAAAUCACUUAAUAUAAAAUAUUUCAUGUAUCAAAUUUAAAACUCACUUUUGGGUUCAUUGAUGUAGUAACUCACCCGGGAAACUUAAAUGGAAUUAGUGUUUUCACUGACAAUAAUGAUGCUACUUUUUCAUUAUAGGCCCAUAAGAUGGCCUGGCCUUUCCUUGAACCAGUAGACCCUAAUGAUGCACCAGAUUAUUAUGGUGUUAUUAAGGAACCUAUGGACCUUGCCACCAUGGAAGAAAGAGUACAAAGACGAUAUUAUGAAAAGCUGACGGAAUUUGUGGCAGAUAUGACCAAAAUUUUUGAUAACUGUCGUUACUACAAUCCAAGUGACUCCCCAUUUUACCAGUGUGCAGAAGUUCUCGAAUCAUUCUUUGUACAGAAAUUGAAAGGCUUCAAAGCUAGCAGGUCUCAUAACAACAAACUGCAGUCUACAGCUUCUUAAAGUUCAGCGUGUUAACCUAACAUAAAACACAGCAAGAAUCUGGUUGUCUGAACUAUUUUAAAUUAAGGAGCCAGAUGUUUUUAGUCAGGCUAUCCUGACAAGACUUGACCUAAACUUCGUUUUUAUUGGUCAUAACAGUCCAAUUAUAUUCUUGGCCAAUUUUGUCCAACGGACAAGAAAAAAGCAAAGUCAACGACACCAUUAUCUUGUCAAGAUCAAAUGGUUUUACUAUUGUGGCAGAAGCGAGAAAACUUUGUUUAUUG